AAUGAUUUUUGCCAGAGAUCUGGUUUGCUAUCUUACUGUUGUAAAUUUAUACAAAUGAAAUUAAUGUAAUAUUUACAAUUUUAAAACUUUUAUAGGUUUUGUAAAACAGGAUAGAAAAUAGAAAUAAAGUGCCAGCACUAGCGGUCAUACUUUAGUUUUCAAGAUAGCAUUGUGCGGGACUGUUUAAAAGAUUUUAGUUCUAGGGGUAAAAUCUAGAAUUUAAAAAUUUUAACAAAUUUUACUAAACUACGGUAAUCAAACUAGGAUUAGAUACCCUAUUAUGCGUAGCGAAUUUACAAUGUCCUAGCGUGUAAAUGUAUAAAUUCAGGAAAGCCAUCUACCAUGGCGGCUCCUUAUACAAUCAGAGGCAGAUGUGCUUAAACGAAGUUGCACGAACAUCUUACUUUUUUUAUCUUUGUACACCGCUGCUGGAAAGUUUAGUCGUGAGACUGGGCUGUUUUUAAUUUUUAAGUUAAAGCAAGUCAAGGUGCAGGUUAUGGAAAAGUUGACAUGUUUGCCAAUACUUUUUAAAAUGGUAUUAUUUACUGAAAUGUAAAUUUAUAAGAAUCUGAAAGUAAAGAUCGUUCAUUAAACCGUCUUGAAUUGGCUAUUUGGAGCGCACAAAUUGUCCGUCAACCCUAUAAAUGGGUAAGUCGUAACAAAGUUGUGCUACCGGAAGGUGGCU
RNAcentral lists this non-coding RNA (685 nucleotides) under Pedicinus badii. Lineage: Eukaryota; Metazoa; Arthropoda; Insecta; Psocodea; Pedicinidae. The record is from RNAcentral.